GGCGCUCUCAAUACAUGCACCUCUGAAGAAUAAAAAGCACCCAUAUAAGCUUAAAUUGCUUGGCCGAGGUCGGAUGUAAAAAACAAACUUGUUCCUUGUUGUUAUAGAAAUACAUCGCAUGAGCUUCAGUUAUUUUAUAUUUGCUAUUUUGGAUUGCCAGAGUUCAUGUUUCCCUCCAACCUGAAUGAGCAAAAAUGUAGGCCUCAUCAGUAUAGAGGACAACUCUAGAGCUAAUGGAACUGCAUAACCUCCAUAUAUCUGCGCCAGGCUUUUUUCUCAAAUAUCUGCAUCAGGCUUUUUUUUGCUCAAAUAUCUGCAUCAGGCUUGACUAUCAACUACUCGGUAGAAGUUGAAAUCGAGCUCAACCAUUGUGCAAAAAAAAAAAAACAGUUCAGAAAAUACAUCGCGCCCUUGUCGACAGUAUGCAAGAAUCAUACCUGAACACUACAUGUAGACAUGGUGAGAGAAGUUGUUACAUGUGGGAGUUAUAGACAAGAAAACAGCUAGCCAUUCCUAUUGUACAGAUUUUGAAGUCUUAGGAUGUGGUAAAAUUCUAGGUAAGUAGGUUAGCCCUGUCAUACUUGUCAUUUGGAUCAAGAUGGUUGUUAUACAUCUCUGACCUCCUCCUCAGUCCAUCAGGUAAAGAGAAAAUCAUGCAAGGCUAUAUUUAUAAGCAAGGCACAUACCUGUUUCACACCAGCAAGUCACUGCUCACGUACAUGUUAAAAAUGAGUUCAUAAGCUUUAUUGCCAUUGCACCUAGGCUAGGCUGUACUAUCCCCGCAAACAAUAGUAGUGGGCAUCAGGCAACAGAAUAGAAAAUGCAUAUAAUUAAUUUCCCUGCAUGAUAGCCACAGAGUGAAGGGCAGGAGAGUCGGCUGUAGGGGUGUGGUGAAUGCGUCCAUGGGGCAGCAGCCGAGCAUCGAAGCGGCGGACGGCGAUGGU
Molecule: ribosomal RNA, 944 nt
Filed under: Triticum aestivum (bread wheat)
Lineage: Eukaryota; Viridiplantae; Streptophyta; Magnoliopsida; Poales; Poaceae
Description: partial small subunit ribosomal RNA
Source: RNAcentral